CUACGUGCCAGCAGCCGCGGUAAUACGUAGGUGGCAAGCGUUGUCCGGAAUUAUUGGGCGUAAAGCGCGCGCAGGCGGAUUGGUCAGUCUGUCUUAAAAGUUCGGGGCUUAACCCCGUGAUGGGAUGGAAACUGCCAAUCUAGAGUAUCGGAGAGGAAAGUGGAAUUCCUAGUGUAGCGGUGAAAUGCGUAGAUAUUAGGAAGAACACCAGUGGCGAAGGCGACUUUCUGGACGAAAACUGACGCUGAGGCGCGAAAGCCAGGGGAGCGAACGGGAUUAGAUACCCCGGUAGUCCUGGCCGUAAACGAUGGGUACUAGGUGUAGGAGGUAUCGACCCCUUCUGUGCCGGAGUUAACGCAAUAAGUACCCCGCCUGGGGAGUACGACCGCAAGGUUGAAACUCAAAGGAAUUGACGGGGGCCCGCACAAGCGGUGGAGUAUGUGGUUUAAUUCGACGCAACGCGAAGAACCUUACCAGGUCUUGACAUUGAUGGACAGAACUAGAGA
Molecule: ribosomal RNA, 506 nt
Filed under: uncultured bacterium
Lineage: Bacteria
Description: bacterial SSU rRNA
Rfam family: Bacterial small subunit ribosomal RNA
Source: RNAcentral